RNAcentral lists this ribosomal RNA (443 nucleotides) under uncultured bacterium. RNAcentral describes it as "bacterial SSU rRNA". It matches the Rfam family "Bacterial small subunit ribosomal RNA", at positions 64 to 524 of the family's 1533-position model. The record is from RNAcentral.
GAGCGGAAACGCCUUCGGGGNUACUCGAGCGGCCAACGGGUGAGUAACACGUGAGCAACCUGCCCCUGGUCUCUGGAGAUAGCUCCGCGGAAACCGGGUAUUAAUACCGUGAUGUGACCCUCCUCUGCAUGGUGGGGGGUGGAAAGUUUGACGGCCAGGCAUGGGCUCGCGGCCUAUCAGCUUGUUGGUGGGGUAGUGGCCUACCAACGCGACGACGGGUAGCCGGCCUGAGAGGGCGACCGGACACACUGGGACUGAGACACGGCCCAGACUCCUACGGGAGGCAGCAGUGGGGAAUAUUGCGCAAUGGGCGAAAGCCUGACGCAGCGACGCCGCGUGCGGGAUGAAUGCCUUCGGGUUGUAAACCGCUUUCAGCAGGGGCGAACCAAGACGGUACCUGCAGAAGAAGCGCCGGCUAACUACGUGCCAGCAGCCGCGGUAAU